This 251-nucleotide ribosomal RNA is filed under the name uncultured bacterium. Its description in RNAcentral is "partial 16S ribosomal RNA". It matches the Rfam family "Bacterial small subunit ribosomal RNA", at positions 524 to 776 of the family's 1533-position model. The record is from RNAcentral.
UACGAGGGGCUGAGCGUUGUUCGGAAUACUGGGCGUAAAGAGUGUGUAGGCGGCGCUCUAAGUUCGGUGUGAAAUCUCUCGGCUUAACUGGGAGGGUGCGCCGGAAACUGGAGUGCUCGAACGUGGGAGAGGAAAGCGGAAUUCCUGGUGUAGCGGUGAAAUGCGUAGAUAUCAGGAGGAACACCUGCGGUGUAGACGGCUUUCUGGACCAUUGUUGACGCUGAGACACGAAAGCGUGGGUAGCAAACAGG